GAAGAAGCAGAAGAAGAAGAAGAAGAAGAAGAGAACAUCCUGCUGUCGCACUCAUGACGUCAAAAUGUUGCACCCGAGGAAGACAGACUGCCAGCUGCCUCCUGCAAGUCCCUCAACUUAAUGGAAGAGCAACACAAAAUCAGUGUGAACAGCAGCAUAACUGCUGCAGGUCUUUCAGCUCAGCGUUUUGAAUUAACAGUGAGCGGCUCAACCGUUUGCUCUCAUCGAUCUUUGUUUCGAGCCACCGAAGACAGCUGUUUUCCAAAAAUAAAUGCCCAGAUGGACCUUUAGUUACCUACGAACUGGUGAACGCAGUGGAGCAACUGGCAGCUAAAGAGAUGAACUCUCCCCAGGAGCUGGUUGACAGCUCAAAAGAAUAAUGUUCUAUAUCAGAUUAAUGUGUGACUAAAAGUUGAUUUGCAAAAAAAUAAAAAAAUAAAGUCAUCAAA
Molecule: long non-coding RNA, 449 nt
Organism: Acanthopagrus latus (yellowfin seabream)
Lineage: Eukaryota; Metazoa; Chordata; Actinopteri; Spariformes; Sparidae
Exons: 3
Source: RefSeq, a predicted model, not a curated record